Molecule: long non-coding RNA, 399 nt
Organism: Gallus gallus (chicken)
Lineage: Eukaryota; Metazoa; Chordata; Aves; Galliformes; Phasianidae
Source: Ensembl
UUUGAGAAGAAAAAUGCUAGGAUAAUAGCAUUGAGUUGGAGGGGGAGCCAGGAGGCGGUAGCAGACCUAAGCCAACUUGACUGAAGGUGAUGUUCUCGACGGCUGCAGUUCCUCAGUUCAGUCCCUUUGUGAGAAAACAUCCACAAAGAAAAGUGGUAACAGGAUCCAGUGUGUCUCUUAAAGGAUAACUGGAGCAGAAAUGAUGCUGAUGCUGUGAAAUAGGUCAAACGUGACAGGACACCUUAUCUGUUAAGCUGUGAACCCCACCAUUGCUCCUCUGCCUCUGUAUCGAUUAUGUGACUGCUUUGAAACACGCCUGAAACCUUUGCCUGUCGCCUUGUAUGACCACACUGCACAGUUAGCACAGGAGAGGCAGCGUGUCCUGUGAGCUGGGUGAUC